This 176-nucleotide ribosomal RNA is filed under the name uncultured Lactobacillus sp. Its description in RNAcentral is "partial 16S ribosomal RNA". It matches the Rfam family "Bacterial small subunit ribosomal RNA", at positions 357 to 527 of the family's 1533-position model. The record is from RNAcentral. Lineage: Bacteria; Bacillati; Bacillota; Bacilli; Lactobacillales; Lactobacillaceae.
CGCCGUCUUGCGAUGUACCGCAAGUCUGAGGAGCAACGCCGCGUGAGUGAAGAAGGUUUUCGGAUCGUAAAGCUCUGUUGUUGGUGAAGAAGGAUAGAGGUAGUAACUGGCCUUUAUUUGACGGUAAUCAACCAGAAAGUCACGGCUAACUACGUGCCAGCAGCCGCGGUAAUACA